RNAcentral lists this long non-coding RNA (1583 nucleotides) under Mus musculus (house mouse). Its description in RNAcentral is "long non-coding RNA chr10:101774231-101775814". The record is from RNAcentral. Lineage: Eukaryota; Metazoa; Chordata; Mammalia; Rodentia; Muridae.
ACAAUAUCACACUCAUCUGCAAGAAACAAAGAUGAGUUGAAUUUUAUACUUGUCAUAUUUCAGAUAACCAUUAAAAUAUUUUAUGACUGUCCAUGUGGAUAGAAUAAAGGAAGGGUAUCUGGAAUGGGUGUUUGUUUGGAAAUAUCAAACUUAGGAAUCAGAAAAAAAUCUUGAAUUAGUUUUAACAUUCUUUAAUUUCAAAAAAAUGUGUUGGAUAUUGUCAAUCUGUGUUAACUACUUAAAAAAGCAGAAAGUUAGUGUCCUAGUUAAAAAGUCUAUCGUAGCCAGAAUACUCUCAUUAAAAAUUAGAUGUUGUUUUAUGUCAAUUUCCAAGCAUUCACAGCAAACAUUAAAACAGUAUUUAAUGAAAGCCUACUCUUUCUUGCCAUAACUGAAAAUACAUUUAUACCAAGCUUAUAUUUGUCUUAACAUAUAUAGUUUGAGUUCCUGUCAUGAUUUUCUUUAUUUUUUAGUUUAAUUUUUAUUAGAUAUUUUCUUUAUUUACAUUUCAAACGUUAUCCCCUUUCUUAGUUUCUCCUCUGAAAACCCCCUAUCUCCUUCCCCCUCCCCCUGCUCACCAACCAACCCACUCCUGCUUCCUGACCCUGGCAUUCUCCUAUACUGGAGCAUAGAACUUUCACAGGACCCAGGGCUUCUCCUCCCAUUGAUGGCCGACUAGGCCAUCCUCUGCUACAUAUGCAGCUAGAGACACAAGUUCCACCAUGUGUUUUCUUUGGUUAGUGGUUUUGUCCUAGGGAGCUCUUUUUAACAUGGGAUUUUUCCUAGUUGUGAAGAAAUGCUUGCUUUACUUUUAGAGUAUUCAUCAUAUGCAAAUUAGAGCAACAAAAUGGUAUGGCCAUGGAGAAAUUAUAUUUGUGUAUGGGCAUAAAGAGAUUCUUGAGCAAUGUAAAUAGAAAAAAGUCAAGAAAUAAAUUGUUAUGUUUUUCAGUCUUUGGGAUGUUUUGAAAGACUCAUUAAAGAUUCAGAAUGAAUUGAGAGUGAUUUGUAACUUGCAAAUUAAGAUGAAAACUAUACAUUAUUAUAUGUUUCCUACUGAUAUAAUGCUGAAAUGCCUGUUCCCUUUUUUAGUAGUUUAAUAGAUACCAUGUUGGAUUGAUAUGUUCGAAAAGCAUUACUUAAAUUUCCGAAAGAGCACUGUAUUACAACCUUUCUCCAGAAUUUCUAUAAUUACUGCAUCUUAGUCUUCAAGCCAGCUAAUGACAGCUGAAAUCUCCUUGGAUAAAGUGGAUCUAUAAACUGUGGAUGAUGUAAUAAUAACUAAUUUCAGUAUGAUAAUCUCCUAUUACAAGGAGAACAUGAAUUCUAUUCUGCUAAGUUUACCAGUCCAAACAAUUGUUAAUUACUGUUUCGAUGUCUAGAAAAAGUCUUAGAGACACACUAGAUAUCAACCAACCAUGGAAGAACAUUUCACAAAUACUGAACUAUGACAGGUACUUAGAGAAAAUAAAUAUUAACAAAUACAGUUUUAAAAGCCAGUAGAAUAAACAUGUACUAUCAGUUGAUUUCAGACAAUUUAAGCAAAAUUUAUUAUACUUUGUAGAUUCAGAAAUUUGUACUAGAGC